Molecule: ribosomal RNA, 429 nt
Filed under: Chloroflexota bacterium
Lineage: Bacteria; Bacillati; Chloroflexota
Description: Chloroflexi bacterium partial 16S ribosomal RNA
Rfam family: Bacterial small subunit ribosomal RNA
Source: RNAcentral
UGGGGAAUAUUGCACAAUGGUCGCAAGCCUGAUGCAGCCAUGCUGCGUGUGUGAUGAAGGCCUUCGGGUUGUAAAUCAUUUUCAGCGGGGAUGCAGGCGGUGAGGGUAAUAACCCCACCGAUUGACGUUACCCGCAGAAGAAGCACCGGCUAACUCCGUGCCAGCAGCCGCGGUAAUACGGAGGGUGCAAGCGUUAAUCGGAAUUACUGGGCGUAAAGCGCACGCAGGCGGUCUGUCAAGUCGGAUGUGAAAUUCCCGGGCUCAAACUGGGAACUGCAUUCGAAACUGGCAGGCUAGAGUCUUGUAGAGGGGGGUAGAAUUCCAGGUGUAGCGGUGAAAUGCGUAGAGUUCUGGAGGAAUACCGGUGGCGAAGGCGGCCCCCUGGACAAAGACUGACGCACAGGUGCGAAAGCGUGGGGAGCAAACAGG